This is a long non-coding RNA of Zonotrichia leucophrys gambelii, 302 nucleotides long. RefSeq lists it as uncharacterized. The record is from RefSeq and is a predicted model, not a curated record. The transcript has 3 exons. Lineage: Eukaryota; Metazoa; Chordata; Aves; Passeriformes; Passerellidae.
AAUCUCUUCCAAAAAAGCACCGGUCUGCAGAUGUCUGCAAGAGAACCCACGAACCCUCCUUCUUCUACGGCAGGGCAGCAGUUGGCAGGAGUACCAGUUGGAGGGAAUGAAUCGUCUACGUUGGCUGUUCAUCUUUAAAAAUUGACUCUUCAGUAGCAUGUGACAAGAGCUGGAAAAUGCUUCUGCAUCUGGUUUUCUUUGGGAGGAAAGACUUUGUGAAGUGUGAGGUGUAAGGAAAGACUCAUUCCCCUUUGGAUUAUGAAAGCAGUGCUUAUAAUAAAACUGUAUGUUGUGACUCUUCA